This 26-nucleotide non-coding RNA is filed under the name Mus musculus (house mouse). Lineage: Eukaryota; Metazoa; Chordata; Mammalia; Rodentia; Muridae. The record is from RNAcentral.
UUUGAUGUCAUACCCAAUAAGUUGCC